Molecule: ribosomal RNA, 494 nt
Filed under: uncultured bacterium
Lineage: Bacteria
Description: partial 16S ribosomal RNA
Rfam family: Bacterial small subunit ribosomal RNA
Source: RNAcentral
GACGAACGCUGGCGGCGUGCUUAACACAUGCAAGUCGAACGGUGAAGCGCCUUCCUUUUUGGUGGGUGUGGAUGAGUGGCGAACGGGUGAGUAACACGUGAGUAACCUGCCCCCUUCUUCUGGAUAACCGCAUGAAAGUGUGGCUAAUACGGGAUAUUCUGGGUCUGUCGCAUGAUGGGUCUGGGAAAGAUAUUGUUUCGGUGGGGGAUGGGCUCGCGGCCUAUCAGCUUGUUGGUGGGGUGAUGGCCUACCAAGGCGGUGACGGGUAGCCGGCCUGAGAGGGUGGACGGUCACACUGGGACUGAGACACGGCCAAGACUCCUACGGGAGGCAGCAGUGGGGAAUAUUGCACAAUGGGCGCAAGCCUGAUGCAGCGACGCCGCGUGAGGGAUGGAGGCCUUCGGGUUGUGGACCUCUUUCGCCAGUGAAGCAGGCCUGCCUCGUUUGUGGGUGGGUUGACGGUAGCUGGAUAAGAAGCGCCGGCUAACUACGUG